This 1224-nucleotide ribosomal RNA is filed under the name Triticum aestivum (bread wheat). RNAcentral's name for it is "partial small subunit ribosomal RNA". Lineage: Eukaryota; Viridiplantae; Streptophyta; Magnoliopsida; Poales; Poaceae. The record is from RNAcentral.
AUGGAGACCAAAAUUUCGGCAAAGAGAGUAGAAAAUCUGCAGACCACCCUCGGGUUUGCAGGCUGUUUUGCGGUGGAUAGCGAGGGUUUGAGUGGAGGAAUUGCUUUAUUCUGGUCAGCCGAUGUCAAGGUUGAGCUCAGGAACUACAGUUCUGGCCAUAUUGAUGUUAUGGUGCAGAAAAUUGAUCAAAACACUAACCCAUGGAGAUUCACGGGUUUCUAUGGCGCCCCCAGAGCGGGGGAUCGACACCACAGUUGGAGGUUUCUUCGUACGUUGAUGGCAGUACCACACACGGCCUGGUUGUGUGUUGGUGACUUCAACGAGACACUCUAUGCUUCGGAACACUUCUCGCGAGCGGCAAGGCCUGAAUGGCAAAUGCGAGCAUUCCGGGAAGUCACUGAUGAAUGCCUCUUCCAGGACCUGGGAUGGACGGGGACAGAAUACACAUGGGACAACGGACAGUUGGGCCAUGAUAACGUAAAAGCUAGGUUGGUUAGGGCUUUUGGGAAUCCAGACCUAAUUCACCUGUACGGCCGUUCGCGAGUGAGACAUAUAAGUACGACCGAAUCAGACCACUGCUUUCUGCUGCUGGAACUGAGGGCGGACGAGGUCGAGUACAGGACAAGGAGAGCGAAGCAAUUUCGCUAUGAGGAUGUCUGGCAAACACAUGCAGAUUAUGACCAAGUGGUGAUAGAGAAUUGGCAAAGGGGGUCAGGUCAGCAAGGUUUGGCCGGUGUGAUCAGCGCACUCAAGAACAUGCAGAGCACGUUAUCAGCAUGGGGUGCGAAGGAAUUUGGUAGCCUAACCGCCACCAUAAAAAAGCUCCGAGCAAAACUGGACCGCUUACGGAGUCAGGCUAUCAGCAGAGGGCCCUCGGACGAAGAAAAGGCCACAGUUAAAAAGCUGCACGAGGCACUUCGUCAGGAGGAAAUAUGGAUGCGACAACGAUCGCGAGUACCGUGGCUGCGUCACGGUGAUCGGAACACCAAAAAUUUUCACGCGCAAGCUGCUAUGAGGAGGCGCUUGAAUAAAAUAGAGAGACUUGAGCAUGCGGAUGGUUCUGUUUGCCAAACAGUUGAGGACGAUCAGGAGGAAGUCCGGCAGUUUUACCAAGCUCUAUAUACAUCUCAAGGCUUCAACCAACUAGAUGAGCUCCUUGAUUUGGUUCCAGUCCGUGUGUCUGAACAAAUGAAUACAUGCAUUGACAUGCCUUACACAGCAUAG